Molecule: long non-coding RNA, 956 nt
Organism: Bombus terrestris (buff-tailed bumblebee)
Lineage: Eukaryota; Metazoa; Arthropoda; Insecta; Hymenoptera; Apidae
Exons: 3
Source: RefSeq, a predicted model, not a curated record
CUGCCAUUGACGAGAAUAGAGUUCUGCUGUAUUGUACUUUUACAACCAAGGACCAAAAAAGGACACGAGUACAUCCAGAUUAGAACUUCAUCGUGAUGAGGAAUGUCUCGACGUCUCGGGAAUUAGGAAACCUUCGGAUCAGGAUCAGCGAAAUGGCCAGGUGACCGGUUUUGCUACACGCGUCCAUCCCCCGAGGGCAACCCCUGAAUUUUCGUUUUUCCGCCGAUCGAACAGCCGACAGAAUUGAUCGAAUAAACAACGAAUAGACCCAGAACCUAUACGUUGGAAACACACCUGUCCUGCAUCAAUGGCCACAUCUUACCAAUGUUAUGAAAGCCUGAAACCAACACGUGACAAAGGUAUCGCGACGAUUCUACAUUGUAUAUCAAUGACAAUUUGCUUUAUUACACCGGUGACGCUGAUAGCUAAUCGGCCUCGUACACAACUGCCUAUCUACGCGACGAUGUAUCGUGGGCUUGUCACUGCGUCGUUACUUGCACGACUACAGGAAUUAUUUAACGUGGAACACGAGGCUUUCGCUUCGUAGAUAACGCUUGGCGAUACGAAAUCGGCGUUCAACUAUGUUUCUCGUGCUGAUUCCGGCCAACAUUUUUGAUAAAUGCUCGACAGCGUCAGCCAGGGAAACGUAGCCGAUUGAAUUACAGAGAGUAAUCUGUAGAGACACAGAUGGUCGUGUAAGAGGGGACAGAAGUUCGUGUUGAAUGAGAUUAGUACCUCGAAUAGCGCUACUUGAAAUAUUCAGAGAGGAAAAAUGAACAUUAAUGACGGUGUGUUGCGAUAGUGAUGUAGGUUGAUGUUAGGGAGCUUGAUAAUAAGACGGUCAUCGGUUUCGUGGAACUUUGAUAAAAGGUUACUUUAUUUUCCUCUGUGUGUAUGUAUAUAUAUAAAAUUUGGCGUCGAUGUUGCUAGCUAAAUAUUUUACAUAAUGGUUAUUC